UACGAGAGGCCCAAACGUUAUUCGGAAUUACUGGGCUUAAAGAGUUCGUAGGCGGCAUGAAAAGCAGGGUGUGAAAGCCCUCGGCUCAACCGAGGAAUUGCGCUCUGAACUGUCGUGCUUGAGGAACCUAGAGGUGAGCAGAACAGAUGGUGGAGCGGUGAAAUGCGCUGAUAUCAUCUGGAAUACCGGAGGCGAAGGCGGCUCACUGGGGGUUUUCUGACGCUGAGGAACGAAAGCCAGGGUAGCGAACGGG
This 253-nucleotide ribosomal RNA is filed under the name uncultured bacterium. RNAcentral's name for it is "partial 16S ribosomal RNA". It matches the Rfam family "Bacterial small subunit ribosomal RNA", at positions 524 to 776 of the family's 1533-position model. The record is from RNAcentral.